This 207-nucleotide ribosomal RNA is filed under the name uncultured bacterium. Its description in RNAcentral is "partial 16S ribosomal RNA". It matches the Rfam family "Bacterial small subunit ribosomal RNA", at positions 28 to 224 of the family's 1533-position model. The record is from RNAcentral.
GAUGAACGCUAGCGGCAGGCUUAAUACAUGCAAGUCGUGGGGCAGCAUGUCCCGCAGCAAUGCGGGAUGAUGGCGACCGGCAAACGGGUGCGGAACACGUACACAACCUUCCUUUAAGUGGGGAAUAGGCCAGGGAAACUUGGGUUAAUACCCCGUAAUAUAUAGAAGCGGCAUCGUUUUUAUAUUAUAGCAGCAAUGCGCUUGAAG